RNAcentral lists this ribosomal RNA (510 nucleotides) under uncultured Comamonas sp. RNAcentral's name for it is "partial 16S ribosomal RNA". Lineage: Bacteria; Pseudomonadati; Pseudomonadota; Betaproteobacteria; Burkholderiales; Comamonadaceae. The record is from RNAcentral.
CACGUAGUUAGCCGGUGCUUAUUCUUACGGUACCGUCAUGACCCGGGGAUAUUAGCCCCAGGCUUUUCGUUCCGUACAAAAGCGGUUUACAACCCGAGGGCCUUCAUCCUGCACGCGGCAUUGCUGGAUCAGGCUUUCGCCCAUUGUCCAAAAUUCCCCACUGCUGCCUCCCGUAGGAGUCUGGGCCGUGUCUCAGUCCCAGUGUGGCUGGUCGUCCUCUCAGACCAGCUACAGAUCGCAGGCUUGGUAAGCCUUUACCCCACCAACUACCUAAUCUGCCAUCAGCCGCUCUAGUAGCACAAGGCCCGAAGGUCCCCUGCUUUCAUCCGUAGAUCUCAUGCGGUAUUAGCUACUCUUUCGAGUAGUUACUCCCCCAUACUAGGCACGUUCCGAUGUAUUACUCUACCCGUUCGCCACUCGUCAGCAUCCGAAGACCUGUUACCGUUCGACUUGCAUGUAGUAAAGCAUCGCCGCCAGCGUUACAAUCUGAGCCAGGACUACAAACUCUAC